RNAcentral lists this ribosomal RNA (474 nucleotides) under uncultured organism. RNAcentral's name for it is "partial 16S ribosomal RNA". It matches the Rfam family "Bacterial small subunit ribosomal RNA", at positions 334 to 799 of the family's 1533-position model. The record is from RNAcentral.
CGCUCCUGCGGGAGGCAGCAGUGGGGAAUUUUGGACAAUGGGCGAAAGCCUGAUCCAGCCAUGCCGCGUGCAGGAUGAAGGCCUUCGGGUUGUAAACUGCUUUUGUACGGAACGAAACGGCCUUUUCUAAUAAAGAGGGCUAAUGACGGUACCGUAAGAAUAAGCACCGGCUAACUACGUGCCAGCAGCCGCGGUAAUACGUAGGGUGCAAGCGUUAAUCGGAAUUACUGGGCGUAAAGCGUGCGCAGGCGGUUAUGUAAGACAGUUGUGAAAUCCCCGGGCUCAACCUGGGAACUGCAUCUGUGACUGCAUAGCUAGAGUACGGUAGAGGGGGAUGGAAUUCCGCGUGUAGCAGUGAAAUGCGUAGAUAUGCGGAGGAACACCGAUGGCGAAGGCAAUCCCCUGGACCUGUACUGACGCUCAUGCACGAAAGCGUGGGGAGCAAACAGGAUUAGAUACCCCAGUAGUCCCAUG